Harpegnathos saltator (Jerdon's jumping ant) is the source of this 46-nucleotide non-coding RNA. The record is from Rfam. Lineage: Eukaryota; Metazoa; Arthropoda; Insecta; Hymenoptera; Formicidae.
AAAUUGGCCCUUUUUAGGGCCACAACACACGCACACACACAGGGGA